Devosia epidermidihirudinis is the source of this 83-nucleotide regulatory RNA element. It matches the Rfam family "ZMP/ZTP riboswitch aptamer (pfl RNA motif)". Rfam says of the family: Previously known as pfl RNA. ZMP is also known as AICAR. The record is from Rfam. NCBI's taxonomy places the organism in Bacteria, Pseudomonadati, Pseudomonadota, Alphaproteobacteria, Hyphomicrobiales, Devosiaceae.
AGGUGUUCGCGCUACUGGCGAGAAAAGAUGGGCAACCAUCGGGGAACGCGAACUUCAUAGAGCCGCUCGCCUGGGCACCCAUC